AGAACAGAGCCAGAACAGAGAACA
This 24-nucleotide non-coding RNA is filed under the name Cricetulus griseus (Chinese hamster). Lineage: Eukaryota; Metazoa; Chordata; Mammalia; Rodentia; Cricetidae. The record is from RNAcentral.